Molecule: ribosomal RNA, 497 nt
Filed under: uncultured bacterium
Lineage: Bacteria
Description: partial 16S ribosomal RNA
Rfam family: Bacterial small subunit ribosomal RNA
Source: RNAcentral
GAUGAACGCUGGCGGCGUGCCUAAUACAUGCAAGUCGAGCGAACGGACGAGAAGCUUGCUUCUCUGAUGUUAGCGGCGGACGGGUGAGUAACACGUGGAUAACCUACCUAUAAGACUGGGAUAACUUCGGGAAACCGGAGCUAAUACCGGAUAAUAUUUUGAACCGCAUGGUUCAAAAGUGAAAGACGGUCUUGCUGUCACUUAUAGAUGGAUCCGCGCUGCAUUAGCUAGUUGGUAAGGUAACGGCUUACCAAGGCAACGAUGCAUAGCCGACCUGAGAGGGUGAGCGGCCACACUGGAACUGAGACACGGUCCAGACUACUACGGGAGGCAGCAGUAGGGAAUCUUCCGCAAUGGGCGAAAGCCUGACGGAGCAACGCCGCGUGAGUGAUGAAGGUCUUCGGAUCGUAAAACUCUGUUAUUAGGGAAGAACAUAUGUGUAAGUAACUGUGCACAUCUUGACGGUACCUAAUCAGAAAGCCACGGCUAACUACGUG